UGUGAUUGUGAGGGACCAGGACCCCGAACUCUCCAGCUUCAAGCGCACAGACCUUCACCCUACAGAGGCUGUAUGGAAGCAGGAGGCCCCGUGGACCCAUGGCCAUCACUCAGACCAACAUUAGGCUUAAUGCUUUCAAAGUGCCUUGCAUGACGUUCCGCCAAGCCUUUGGGACCUAUGGAUCAUUAGUAUUUUACCCUUCCACAAAGUCAGCCUACAAAUGUGUAAGCUAUGGUGGUAUUUUCUUGGAGGGUGGCCAUGUGACUGCUGAGAAUAGAACAAGACCACUAAUCGUGAUCCUACAUAGGCAUAAGACACUGCAUCAUCUUAGAAGGAGAAUCGCUGAGGAGAAGGUGCAAAAGAGUUAAAUGGCAGCUCUUGGUGGAAGGCUGAGCUCAGGACCCACGUGUGCUGGAAGGAGACUGUAAGUUGGUUCUAAUAAAACAUGAGAAAUCGAGGUUAGAACAUCAGACAGGAAUUCUUCAGGAUUAAAGGUAAAAAUAAACCAGGCCAUGCUAGCAGAUUUAUGCAGGACUGCAGAAGUUCCUAUCUGCCUAUCUGUCUGUCUGGGUAUUUGCAUUGCACCUGGAGCCCUCCUGGGUUCCUCACUGACACUGAGCUCCCACACAGCACCAUCUCAGGGCACUUGCCUUCCUCCUUAUGCAGUUGAUUUGGAGAUUUCAGUCCUGGCAGACUGCUGGCAUGUUAUACAUGUCUUUCAUUG
RNAcentral lists this long non-coding RNA (724 nucleotides) under Gallus gallus (chicken). Its description in RNAcentral is "lncRNA (ENSGALG00010022920.1)". Lineage: Eukaryota; Metazoa; Chordata; Aves; Galliformes; Phasianidae. The record is from RNAcentral.